GAUUCUAAUAUAAAAAGCAAAGAAGGAAAGAGAGAAAGAAAGAAAGAAAGAAAGAAAGAAAGAAAGAAAGAAAGAAAGAAAGAAAGAAAGAAAGAGAGAGAGAGAGAGAGAAGGAAGGAAGGAAAGAAGGAAGGAAGGAAGUGAAGGAAGGAAGGAAGGAAGGAAGGAAGGAAGGAAGGAAGGAAGGAAGGAAGGAAGGAAGGAAAGAAGGAAGGAAGGAAAGAAGGAAGGAAGGAAGGAAGGAAGGAAAGAAGGAAGGAAGGAAGGAAGGAAGGAAGGAAGGAAGGAAGGAAGGAAGGAAGGAAGGAAGGAAGGAAGGAAGGAAGGAAGGAAGGGAGAAGCUAAAGAUUCAAAAAGGUAGAAGUGAGGAGAGAGAGCAUUCCUGGGCAAAGGCUGGAGAUGGGAGGAACAGCUUAGGGAGCCAAUAUGGUUGGCCUGUAAGAUAUGUGCAAAAGAAUGACAUAUAAGACUGGAAAGGUAAGUCGGAACCAGGUUGUUAGAGGCUUUCAGGGUCAGACAGAGGCGUUUAUCCUCCAUUCUGGAGGCAUUAGGGAUGCUGUGCUGGGAUAGUACUUUAGUCAAGCCAAACCAAUCCACGGCUCCUCCCUUCUUACACAAGGAGCUUGACCAUGCUGUCCUCCGGCCAGUCCACGAUGCACUUGGUGGCCCCCUCGUCCACAGUGACCGUGGAGUAGAAAAACUGAGGGAAGGCUAGUCCAGAGGCCACCAGCCAGAUGGCGCCGAUGAUGACUUUGGUGCUGAGGGUCGAAAGCCGGGGCUGGAAGGGAUGGAUGAUAGCCAUGUACCUGCAGAAGGAGGAGGCACCAUGGAAAACCACUAGUGAGUUGUAGCCCUUUUCUUUUUCCUUUUUUUUUUUAACCCUUACCUUCUACCUUAGAAUCAAAUCCCAAGUACUGGUGCUAAGGCAGAAGGGUGGGAAGGGCGAGGCAAUGAAGGUUGUAACUCACCCAGGGUUACACAGCUAGGAUGUGUCCGAGGCCAUAUUUGAACCCAAGUCCUCUUGAUUCCAGGCCUGGCUCUCCAUCCAUUGGGCUACCUUAGCUGCCCCCUCUAAGACCUUUGGAUCCCAAAUCUAGGUCACUUGGUAGAAAAACAGCUGAGAAGAGCUUCCACUGGUCUCUGCCCCCUUCACCUUCUCCCAAGACCCUACAUCAACAGUAAGGGCUGAGGAUCACAGGUCAAUGCACUCAAAACAGGAAGGACUCCUAGAAGACCUUAUUUUAACAGAUGGGGAAACGGAGGCACAAACAAUGGGAGAUGUGGCUUGCCCAAGACCUCCUGGAGCUCAGACUUACACAACUAGCUCAGACACACUGAUAGCUCAGGGCAGGAGGUUAUAAACUAGCUAAAGUCAGGUUAAUGUUUGUUCCCUGUCCAGGCAUCUUCUGCAGUCCUCAGGAAGGAGCAAAGAAUCCUAUAUUUGGACAUGGAAGGGACCAACCCUUUCAUUUCACAAAUAAGGAAACAGAGGCACCAGGAAGUGAAACAAUUUGUCCAAGGCUAAUCAAUCAAUAAAUAGACAUUUCCUGAUCA
Long non-coding RNA from Monodelphis domestica (gray short-tailed opossum), 1554 nucleotides. The record is from Ensembl. Lineage: Eukaryota; Metazoa; Chordata; Mammalia; Didelphimorphia; Didelphidae.